Molecule: non-coding RNA, 45 nt
Filed under: Schistosoma mattheei
Lineage: Eukaryota; Metazoa; Platyhelminthes; Trematoda; Strigeidida; Schistosomatidae
Source: RNAcentral
AUCCAUCUAACGAGUCCCAUAUAGAACGAAAUGCACAUUCUGGAU